AGAAGGUCCACUGUGAGGAGUUGUUUUCUGUCAGCGGACAAAUCAUGGCUCACAGUAAAAGCUGUUGACUUACUGGGGAUAUGUUUUCUUCUUUCUGCACCAAAAGAGCUUAGUGAGCUUUUAAGAGAAUUGAAGAGUUUCUUUCUCUAUGGCUCUGCUAAACAGAUCAACCACAGUUGAUGCCAUGAGAAAGCAUUUUGAGAUUCUCCCGGCUAGAAGAUAGCUGUUGUCCCCUGCCUCCUCUCCUGAUGGGUUUCUGCAGCAUACCGUGGGAACCCUUAUCUCAUCUGCAUAUGGUGUUCACAAAGGGCCUGCUGGAAGAUCCAAGUCCAGUCUGCACUCAUGAAGCACCUGCUCUGCAGAGGAAUUCAUCUUAG
RNAcentral lists this long non-coding RNA (377 nucleotides) under Anas platyrhynchos platyrhynchos (common mallard). RNAcentral's name for it is "lncRNA (ENSAPLG00000028801.1)". The record is from RNAcentral. Lineage: Eukaryota; Metazoa; Chordata; Aves; Anseriformes; Anatidae.